This 2086-nucleotide long non-coding RNA is filed under the name Daucus carota (carrot). RNAcentral's name for it is "long non-coding RNA (DCAR_LNC004192)". The record is from RNAcentral. Lineage: Eukaryota; Viridiplantae; Streptophyta; Magnoliopsida; Apiales; Apiaceae.
GCCAGGGCGCGUCCACAUGCCAGGCCGCGCCCACUUGCCAGGACGCGUCCACAUGCCAGGCCGCGCCCACUUGCCAGGCCGCGACCACAUGUCAUGCCGCUCCCACAUGUCUGGCUACGCCCAUAUCCCAGGCCGCGGUCACAUAUCAGGCCGCGCCCACAUGUCUGGCUGCGCCCACAUCCCAGGCCGCGUCCACAUGAUGUCAGGCCGCGCCCACAUGCCAGGCCGUGGCCAUAUGCCAGGUCGCGUCCACAUGAUGUCAGGCCGCGCCCACAUGCCAAGCCGCGUCCACAUAUCAGGCCGUGUCCACAUAUCUGACAGCAACCACAUAUCUGACCGUACCCAGAAGGACCUCCAUGAGGGCGCGCCCUGAUUGGAGGGAGAAGACACAUCUCAGCUUUAUAAGAAAAUGAUUUAUAUGAAGACCGACUUCAUGGGCCAGGCCCACAAAAGAAGACUUGGUUGGACCAGAAGAAUCAAGAUCAACCCGAUUUAGAAGUGACCUUGUAGAAAGAUAGGGCGCGCCCUAUCUUUGGGCGCGCCAUCUUGCCGAAGACAGUUCAGGUAGCAAUGGUUCAGAAGGACAGAAGGAGGUGCUUUUGUUUAGGGGGACGCCCUUAAGCAUAAGUAAAUCCAACUGUUGAAUUGUAGAAGGCCCUACCUUGUAGUCUGAGGGGUUGUCCUCCUUGGUAAAAGAUGAAGAUAUGGACUUACGCACUGAAGAUUGGGCUCGACAAUAUGUAGGCACGCCCACAUAUCUGACCACGUCCGGAAGAAUCUCUAAUAAGGGCGCGCUUUAGGUGGAGAACUAUUUUGGGCCGACAUAUUCAAGAUUGGGCUGGAUCACAUGAUAGGCCGCGCCCACUUGCUAGGGCGCGUCCACAUGCUAGGCCGCGCCCACUUGCCAGGACGCGUCCACAUGCCAGGCCGCGCCCACUUGUCAGGCCGCGACCACAUGUCAUGCCGCUCCCAAAUGAUGUCUGGCUACGCCCACAUGCCAGGCCGCGUCCACAUGAUGUCAGGCCGCGCCCACAUGUCAGGCCGUGGCCACAUGCCAGGCCGCGUCCACAUGAUGUCAGGCCGCGCCCACAUGUCAGGCCGUGGCCACAUGCCAGGCCGCGUCCACAUGAUGUCAGGCCGCGCCCACAUGUCAGGCCGUGGCCACAUGCCAGGCCGCGUCCACAUGAUGUCAGGCCGCGCCCACAUGCCAAGCCGCGUCCACAUGCCAGGCCGCGUCCACAUAUCAGGCCGUGUCCACAUAUCUGACAGCAACUACAUAUCUGACCGUACCCAGAAGGACCUCCAUGAGGGCGCGCCCUGAUUGGAGGGAGAAGACACAUCUCAGCUUUAUAAGAAAAUGAUUUAUAUGAAGACCGACUUCAUGGGCCAGGCCCACAAAAGAAGACUUGGUUGGACCAGAAGAAUCAAGAUCAACCCGAUUUAGAAGUGACCCUGUAGAAAGAUAGGGCGCGCCCUAUCUUUGGGCGCGCCAUCUUGCCGAAGACAGUUCAGUUAGCAAUGGUUCAGAAGGACAGAAGGAGAUGCUUUUGUUUAGGGGGACGCCCUUAAGCAUAAGUAAAUCCAACUGUUGAAUUGUAGAAGGCCCUACCUUGUAGUCUGAGGGGUUGUCCUCCUUGGGAGGUGGAGGUAGAAUAGAAGACGCGCCCUGAAAGGCUCUACCUCUGUAGUCUGGCGGGUUGUCCCUGUCGGGGAGUGGAGUAGUGUCCAUACAUUUGGGGUAAGCCUUGGGUGCUCGAGAGUCUGCAAGGCCCAAGGCUAGGCCUCAUCGUAUUGGGCCCCUUUCGGGAGGAAGAUUCUAGAAGGGGAGGCCCAGUCCACAUGGGUCUCUUAGGAGAAAGAACUACGUGCCUGCUUGAUCCUCUAUAAAUAGGGGUACGUAGGCAGAUUGUAGGCAUCGACCAUUCUUGAGAGCUAUUCCAGUUAGCAAUCUUGAACCCUUUGCUUACAAUUGCAGCCGCCUCCAUAACAAACAACCAACCACUCCCUACAUUCUCGCCAACAAGAAUCUUGAUCCACGCCGCGAACCUCAUCUUUGUUAACCUACCAGUUUUCUCCGUUAACAAUA